This 247-nucleotide ribosomal RNA is filed under the name uncultured bacterium. RNAcentral describes it as "partial 16S ribosomal RNA". It matches the Rfam family "Bacterial small subunit ribosomal RNA", at positions 523 to 769 of the family's 1533-position model. The record is from RNAcentral.
AUACGUAGGGGGCGAGCGUUGUCCGGAAUGACUGGGCGUAAAGGGCGCGUAGGCGGCGCGAUAAGUUGGAUGUGAAAUACCCGUGCUUAACAUGGGCAUUGCAUUUAAGACUGUCGUGCUGGAGUGCAGGAGAGGAAAGCGGAAUUCCCAGUGUAGCGGUGAAAUGCGUAGAGAUUGGGAGGAACACCAGUGGCGAAGGCGGCUUUCUGGACUGUAACUGACGCUGAGGCUCGAAAGCGUGGGGAGC